AUCAAACAAUAUAAAACUCGUAUAAUAGCAGGAAUAUGGCCUGCAAGUUUCUACCAGAUGACCGUUAAUCGUCUGACUACGGGUAAGCGUAUAAA
Molecule: non-coding RNA, 95 nt
Filed under: uncultured Niallia sp.
Lineage: Bacteria; Bacillati; Bacillota; Bacilli; Caryophanales; Bacillaceae
Description: Purine riboswitch
Rfam family: Purine riboswitch aptamer
About the family: Riboswitches are metabolite binding domains within certain messenger RNAs that serve as precision sensors for their corresponding targets. Allosteric rearrangement of mRNA structure is mediated by ligand binding, and this results in modulation of gene expression.
Source: RNAcentral